GUAAUAAGAAGAACUUUACGGGGUUGGAUAGAUUUUAUUGUUGCCCUUUGUGUUUAGAGGGAGAAAUCGCGAGCUCGUUUUAGUGCUCUUCCUGUGGCGGAAGGUCGCGACUAAGUUUUCGAUUUUGUUGAACACUACGGAGUUUCUGUAAGCGUUGGCCAUAGAAGCAGUCAGUGCUGCGAGUUUGUUUUUCAUAUAUCCAGACAUCGUUUCGAUCUAGCGUUUUGUGGUCAUGAGUAAGAGUAAUCCGUAACCGCCCCUCCUUCUAGCGCCAAACUGUGGGAAUCGAAAUUCGCACUGUCGAUUUACUUUUAAAUUAGGAUACUAGGAAAACCCUAAUUUCCCAGAGGUCCCGGAUCUCUGCGAGAGCCAACGACAAGUGACCAAAAAGAUGCGGAAAUCAUGAAAAGAUAACAAACGAGUUUAGAGAAAACAGUAGAUCUUAUUUCGAAUUUGCGUAAGAGCGUAGCGAUCAUUACAAGAGAUCAUAAAAGCUUUGGCCGCAAAGGCUGUCAGC
RNAcentral lists this long non-coding RNA (517 nucleotides) under Brassica napus (rape). RNAcentral's name for it is "long non-coding RNA (BNAP_LNC024464)". The record is from RNAcentral. Lineage: Eukaryota; Viridiplantae; Streptophyta; Magnoliopsida; Brassicales; Brassicaceae.